Molecule: long non-coding RNA, 1263 nt
Filed under: Falco tinnunculus (common kestrel)
Lineage: Eukaryota; Metazoa; Chordata; Aves; Falconiformes; Falconidae
Description: lncRNA (ENSFTIG00000010435.1)
Source: RNAcentral
AUGGGGGGCGCGGGGAGAAACGGUCCGGUUUUAGGUUGUUGGGUUUUUUUUAAAUGUCCGCCCCUCACCGCUACUUCUUCAGGUCUGUCGGGUCGGCCGCGUCGCUUGAAAGUAGCGCUAGAAGUGACGGAAGCGCUGUCCCGCGCCGUCACCGCGCGAGCGCCAUCUUGGAUCGAGGCGCGGGGUGCCCGCCGCCAUGCCGCGAGGGCUGAUGGGAGGCGCCUCGGUAACGGGACGGCAGAAAACAACCUUUACCGGGGCGGGGCGGGCCGGGCCCGGGACGCAGGGCAGGGCAGGGCAGCGCCGCGGGUGGCGGCUGGUGGCGGGGCGGCCUCUCCUUGCGGGCCGGGCCGGGGCCGCCGCGGCGCGCCGGGGGCGGGGCGGGAGCGCGGCGCUGAGGGACAGCGCGUGUUUCCCAUCGGGCCUUGCGGCGGCGCGGGCUGCGGGAAUGAGGUAAAGGCGGGAGGGGCGGGGGCGCGCGGCAGGAAGCGCGGCGGGCAGGCGGCGAGCGCAGCGCGGCGGGCCCGGCCCCAUGGCGGACACCAAGGUGAGGGCGGUGGGCGCGCUGGGCGGGGAUGGCGGGCGCGGGCGGAGGAAGCAGCGUGGCCCGGGGUGGCGGAUGGCGGCGGGAGGGUAACGGAAACAGGUGGGGCCCGCCCGGGGGCGGCGGGCCGGAGGAAGGCCCCCAGGGUUUUGCCGGGACGGCCUCCGGGCCGAGGAGCGCAGGCGGGCGGGGGUCCCGUGGCCGGGCGAGGCCCGCGGGCGGGGAGGGCGAGCGAGGGGCCUGGUCGGAGGGCAGGGAGCGGCAGCGCCGCCUCGGCCCUGCGUGGCGCGGCGGGGAUGCCCGUACGGCGGGGCACGCGUGUCCCCGGGGCCUGGCCUCGGCCCAGCCGGGCGCGGGAGGCGGCGGCGCUUCCCCGGCGGGCGGCAGGCAGGCUGGUGCCGCGCCUCAGGCGCCCCUGGGCCGUCUCUCUCCCCGUUUCCCCCUUUCUUCUCUCCCGCCCCUCCCCCGCCCGGCUGAUCGACCCCUUGUGCCUCCCGGCCGGAGGCGCGGCCCCGCGCGCUUUAUAUCGCGGUGGGGCGGGAUCUUAUCGUGAUAACGGGAUCCGCUCGCUCACGUGCGGCUAUUGUGACUAUGCGCUGCUCACGGCUGUUAGCUGGGUUGGCCAGCGCAGGCCGGCCGGUGCGGGACGUGCCGCUCCCCGCCGCGGGAGGCGGCCUGGGGCGGUUCAGCCGGGGUCUCUUCCACAAGAUGGACCUUAA